RNAcentral lists this long non-coding RNA (242 nucleotides) under Sus scrofa (pig). Its description in RNAcentral is "lncRNA (ENSSSCG00050019003.1)". The record is from RNAcentral. Lineage: Eukaryota; Metazoa; Chordata; Mammalia; Artiodactyla; Suidae.
AUUUUUUUUUUUUUUUUUUUUUUAAAGGAGAAUCCCUCAGGCCCCAACCUUGGCAUAGCCAACCUGCUUAAAUUGAGAAUUAAACCUUCUCUGGAGCUCUGCCACUCUUACGAUUAAUUCCUGAGGCUGGUGCUCAACUUUUUCUGCAUCUGCUGCAAGAGUUACGCCAGCACUUAGACUUGCCACAGAUCAAGUUACCAAUUGCUUCUGUUGUGUUCACUUAUUCCCAGAUGCUCUUUGAG